GCACACACUCACAGCCUCUGAUACUAACGAGGACGAACGGUUUAAAUCCUGGCCUCCGAAAGUUCAAGGCCUCCUCCCGCCGCCCACUGGGCAGCCCAGCUUAUUUUCGGCCUCGAGGAGGGGGGAGGGGGCCACGCGGCGCCCCGCGGUCUGGGCGGCUCUGGCCGUUUCUCAGGCCCCUAGCAGGGCCCGUGGACCCACGCCGGAGCCGAUCGAGGAGAGGUACCAGCAGGUCCGAAGCUCGGGCGGGGGACAAGUACCUCCGCUGCCGCCCUCUCCCCGCCCCCUAAAAGACCGAAGAGGACGACCGCGGAACGACGGCCUCCUCAGCCCCAGGAGUAAAGCCAUUCCAAGUACCUUGUUAAGUGUGAGCCUGUUCUUCCUCAGUGGAUUCACACUGGUGACAUUGCAACAACAGGAGGUGAAAAUGCCGGAUUCCUGUUCCAGGUAGCUGGCCGACACAAUGACAACAGAGAGGUAUUUGGCACACCUGGGAUUAGUGAUGGGAGACCCUGCCUCCCGACGCCUAGCUCCAGGAAGUAUCCUAUAGUCCUUCCCCGGAUGUCCAAGCCACCUCUUCUCGAAAAUCCUCCCGGCCUAAUGGAUUCCAGCUGAGAACCGUGUGGCGCGCCACCGCUGCUGCUCCUCCUCCAACGCUUAGCGGAAGCCCAGGGCUCCCGCAGUCGCCUCAGGGACCACGCCGCCGGCCGGAGCUGAAUGGCCCUCGGCUCUCAAACAGUGGACCUGGGCACUCAGAACAAAGGCACAGCUGCUCCAGCUGCCUGGGCGCCGCUCUGCGAACGGGAACACCAAGCUGCGGGGUCCGGAGUCCCUCACAAUCGCUUGUUUUGUUUUCUCUUUUUGAUACUGUGUCAAGGCUGCCCUGGUGCUUGCUAGAAAUCCAGACUGGCCUCACACUCCUCCUGUGUUUGCCUCCCAAUUGUUAGGAUUACAGGAGUGAGCCACCAUACUAGAAUAGCACUGUGACAGGCCAGGCGGCAAAGGAAGAAAUAGAAGUAAAAAUGGGGCGGAGGUGGAGGUGGGGGAUAAAAUACUGUUGCCUUCAUUUGUCCACAGAAACAUAUUGUUAAUAUUAUUGUAUUUUACGUUUUGGAUUUUGCUUUUAAACAGGGUCUCAUGGAGCUAAGGGUGUUAAUAAGGGUGUUAAUACUGCGAUGUGUUGGGUGUUGGUUGGUUUGUUUGUUUUGGACGCAGAAUUUCACGCAGUCCAGGCUGGCUUCCUACUUGCUAAAUAAGUGGAAGUUGGCCUUAUCAUCCUUCUUAACCUGCUAACCGCUGGGAUUACUGUACAUACGGCCCACAGAGGUGCCUAUUAACAUAUCAAAGAGGAUGCUGAUGGUCAAGCCCCCUCUACACUUGCUCCCCGUUAGAGUCCCGGCUUCUCAGAGCACUCCCUACUACUCUACCCUACACCUCUCCAGCCCCUGAGCCUCACUUCCCUUCUCUUAACCUUCCCCCAUCUUCUCAUUCCUAUAAAGCCCAGACAUUUGCCCACAAACUCUCUUGGUCUUCAUCCUUUUGGCUUCUUGGUUCUUCUCCCUCUCCUUGUCUCCUCUCCCGUCCCUCUGUCUCUCCUCUCAUGCCCAGGUUCAGUCUGGAUCUUUCCAGAGGCCUCUGGCUCUUCUCUCCCUCAUAUCUACAAUAAAAACCUCCUCAACCAUA
RNAcentral lists this long non-coding RNA (1683 nucleotides) under Mus musculus (house mouse). RNAcentral describes it as "predicted gene, 52285 (Gm52285)". The record is from RNAcentral. Lineage: Eukaryota; Metazoa; Chordata; Mammalia; Rodentia; Muridae.